GACGAACGCUGGCGGCGUGCCUAAUACAUGCAAGUAGAACGCUGAAGGAGGAGCUUGCUCUUCUGGAUGAGUUGCGAACGGGUGAGUAACGCGUAGGUAACCUGCCUGGUAGCGGGGGAUAACUAUUGGAAACGAUAGCUAUUACCGCAUAACAGUAGAUGUUGAAUGACAUUUGUUUAAAAGUUGAAUUUGCACCCCUACCAAAUGGACUUGCGUUGUAUUAGCUAGUUGGUGGGGUAACGGCUCACCAAGGCGACGAUACAUAGCCGACCUGAGAGGGUGAUCGGCCACACUGGGACUGAGACACGGCCCAGACUCCUACGGGAGGCAGCAGUAGGGAAUCUUCGGCAAUGGACGGAAGUCUGACCGAGCAACGCCGCGUGAGUGAAGAAGGUUUUCGGAUCGUAAAGCUCUGUUGUAAGAGAAGAACGAGUGUGAGAGUGGAAAGUUCACACUGUGACGGUAUCUUACCAGAAAGGGACGGCUAACUACGUG
Molecule: ribosomal RNA, 495 nt
Filed under: uncultured bacterium
Lineage: Bacteria
Description: partial 16S ribosomal RNA
Rfam family: Bacterial small subunit ribosomal RNA
Source: RNAcentral